This 1048-nucleotide ribosomal RNA is filed under the name uncultured Actinomycetes bacterium. RNAcentral's name for it is "SSU rRNA". It matches the Rfam family "Bacterial small subunit ribosomal RNA", at positions 277 to 1338 of the family's 1533-position model. The record is from RNAcentral. Lineage: Bacteria; Bacillati; Actinomycetota; Actinomycetes.
CGACGGGUAGCCGGCCUGAGAGGGCGACCGGCCACACUGGGACUGAGACACGGCCCAGACUCCUACGGGAGGCAGCAGUGGGGAAUAUUGCGCAAUGGGCGAAAGCCUGAUGCAGCGACGCCGCGUGAGGGAUGACGGCCUUCGGGUUGUAAACCUCUUUCAGCUCCGAAGAAGCGAAAGUGACGGUAGGAGCAGAAGAAGCACCGGCUAACUACGUGCCAGCAGCCGCGGUAAUACGUAGGGUGCAAGCGUUGUCCGGAAUUAUUGGGCGUAAAGAGCUCGUAGGUGGUUCGUCGCGUCUGCUGUGAAAGUCCGAGGCUUAACCUCGGAUCUGCAGUGGGUACGGGCGGACUAGAGUGCGGUAGAGGAGAUCGGAAUUCCUGGUGUAGCGGUGGAAUGCGCAGAUAUCAGGAGGAACACCGGUGGCGAAGGCGGAUCUCUGGGCCGUAACUGACGCUGAGGAGCGAAAGCAUGGGGAGCGAACAGGCUUAGAUACCCUGGUAGUCCAUGCCGUAAACGUUGGGCGCUAGGUGUGGGGUCCCAUCCACGGAUUCCGUGCCGCAGCUAACGCAUUAAGCGCCCCGCCUGGGGAGUACGGCCGCAAGGCUAAAACUCAAAGGAAUUGACGGGGGCCCGCACAAGCGGCGGAGCAUGCGGAUUAAUUCGAUGCAACGCGAAGAACCUUACCAAGGCUUGACAUACGCCGGAAACACUCAGAGAUGGGUGCCCCGCAAGGUCGGUGUACAGGUGGUGCAUGGUUGUCGUCAGCUCGUGUCGUGAGAUGUUGGGUUAAGUCCCGCAACGAGCGCAACCCUCGUUCUAUGUUGCCAGCGGGUCAUGCCGGGGACUCAUAGGAGACUGCCGGGGUCAACUCGGAGGAAGGUGGGGAUGACGUCAAAUCAUCAUGCCCCUUAUGUCUUGGGCUUCACGCAUGCUACAAUGGCCGGUACAAAGGGCUGCGAAACCGUAAGGUGGAGCGAAUCCCAAAAAGCCGGUCUCAGUUCGGAUUGGGGUCUGCAACUCGACCCCAUGAAGUCGGAGUCGCUAG